UACGAAGGGGGCUAGCGUUGUUCGGAAUCACUGGGCGUAAAGCGUACGUAGGCGGACCAUUAAGUCGGGGGUGAAAUCCCAGGGCUCAACCCUGGAACUGCCUUCGAUACUGCUGAGCUAGAGUACUGGAGAGGAGAUUGGAAUUUACGGUGUAGCAGUGAAAUGCGUAGAUAUCGUAAGGAAGACCAGUGGCGAAGGCGGAUCUCUGGACAGUUACUGACACUGAG
Molecule: ribosomal RNA, 227 nt
Filed under: uncultured bacterium
Lineage: Bacteria
Description: partial 16S ribosomal RNA
Rfam family: Bacterial small subunit ribosomal RNA
Source: RNAcentral